Molecule: non-coding RNA, 546 nt
Organism: Rattus norvegicus (Norway rat)
Lineage: Eukaryota; Metazoa; Chordata; Mammalia; Rodentia; Muridae
Source: RefSeq, a predicted model, not a curated record
AGGUGGAGAAAGAGCUUUGGUUCCUGUUCUGAGCUGCUCUUAAAUGAUUGUUGACUUGGGUCUGUCUGCUUGGUUGAUGGUGCCUGUUUCUCCUUUGUCCUUACAUAAGGUAAUUUGUGUCUUUCAAGAAAUGUGUCCACUUACCCUGAGCUGUCAGAUUGAUUGGCAUGGAGUUGUUCCUAAUGUUCACUUACUGUCUGUGUGAUGUCUGAAGGGUCUUCAGAGAUUUUCCCCUCUAAACUCCCGAUACUCGUAACUCAUUACCGCUCUCUGUGGCAAAAACAACACGUUCAAUGAACCAGAACCCUCGUAGCCUAACACAAAUCCGUGUUAGGUGUACACUUAAGAAUGGCCUUCCCGUCUUGCAAGCCAUCCUGCCAUUGCAGAAGGCUCACCUAACUUCCGAACAUUACUUCCUGUGGGAGCAGUCAACACUUCCUGUGAGACCAAGCAACACAGGCCGGUUGGUUUCAUUGGGUUUUGCUUGGGUGGUCUUGCUCCCCUUGCACUGCAUAUCCUUUUUAUAAAGUGAUGUAUUGACUGUUA